UGGAUCAGUGGCGAACGGGUGAGUAACACGUGAGCAACCUGCCCUGGACUCUGGGAUAAGCGCUGGAAACGGCGUCUAAUACUGGAUAUGAGACGUGAUCGCAUGGUCGUGUUUGGAAAGAUUUUUCGGUCUGGGAUGGGCUCGCGGCCUAUCAGCUUGUUGGUGAGGUAAUGGCUCACCAAGGCGUCGACGGGUAGCCGGCCUGAGAGGGUGACCGGCCACACUGGGACUGAGACACGGCCCAAACUCCUACGGGAGGCAGCAGUGGGGAAUAUUGCACAAUGGGCGGAAGCCUGAUGCAGCAACGCCGCGUGAGGGAUGACGGCCUUCGGGUUGUAAACCUCUUUUAGCAGGGAAGAAGCGAAAGUGACGGUACCUGCAAAAAAAGCGCCGGCUAACUACGUGCCAGCAGCCGCGGUAAUACGUAGGGCGCAAGCGUUAUCCGGAAUUAUUGGGCGUAAAGAGCUCGUAGGCGGUUUGUCGCGUCUGCUGUGAAAUCCCGAGGCUCAACCUCGGGCC
Molecule: ribosomal RNA, 519 nt
Filed under: Microbacterium testaceum
Lineage: Bacteria; Bacillati; Actinomycetota; Actinomycetes; Micrococcales; Microbacteriaceae
Description: bacterial SSU rRNA
Rfam family: Bacterial small subunit ribosomal RNA
Source: RNAcentral